UAGGGAAUAUUGGACAAUGGGGGCAACCCUGAUCCAGCCAUGCCGCGUGAGUGAAGAAGGCCCUCGGGUUGUAAAGCUCUUUUGUCCGGAAAGAAAAGCUUCGGGUUAAUACCCCGGGGUUCUGACGGUACCGGAAGAAUAAGCACCGGCUAACUUCGUGCCAGCAGCCGCGGUAAUACGAAGGGUGCAAGCGUUGCUCGGAAUUACUGGGCGUAAAGCGUGCAGAGGUGGUUGUUUAAGUCUGAUGUGAAAGCCCUGGGCUCAACCUGGGAAUGGCAUUGGAAACUGGGCAGCUAGAGUGCGGUAGAGGGUAGUGGAAUUCCCGGUGUAGCAGUGAAAUGCGUAGAGAUCGGGAGGAACAUCUGUGGCGAAGGCGACUGCCUGGACCAGCACUGACACUGAGGCACGAAAGCGUGGGGAGCAAACA
RNAcentral lists this ribosomal RNA (427 nucleotides) under uncultured bacterium. RNAcentral describes it as "bacterial SSU rRNA". It matches the Rfam family "Bacterial small subunit ribosomal RNA", at positions 355 to 774 of the family's 1533-position model. The record is from RNAcentral.